CAUGAAUUCCUCUGAAUAAGUAUUCAGAAACCUGGUCAAUUAACAACUAGUGUAGACUUUUCUUAACAAAAACCCUCUGAGGUUUUUCCUGAGUUCAAUUAACUUAAAACCUUGAGCAACAUUUGAUCUCCAGGUUGUGAUGCGUGUCACUCAAAAGGCUGGUCAUCUGUUUGCCUAUCUCCCCUAGGCAAACCUAGAAAAUGCAUCUCCUGACCUUCGAAGAGAGCUCUGGUUAUUCAGGAAAGUGGAUUGCCUUGUCCCCUGGAGCAUAAAACUGGAAUACGGUACUCUUGGGGAAUGGAGGCUACUAAAUAGGAACUCUUCGAGAACAGGAAUUUUUAGCAUUCUGAUGGUUGGAUAGAGCCCAUGACCUUCCCCUGAGGGAUCUGCAAUUCAACAUGGCAAAUUUACUUCCAGAGGGCUCACCUAUAUUUGCAAGCUAGGGGUAUAUCCCCAUUCACCAACACCAGCAUUCAAGUACUAGGCAUCAGACCAAACUUUUCCCUAGGGCGGAUCCUGUUACAGGGCACCGUGAAUACAGGUGUGAAGGACUCAGGAGCUGGGAUGAAUUCCCACCCCGAGGAUCUGAGUGUCUCAUCGCCCGGUUUGUGUUGGUGACCUGUCUCUCUCUUCUUCUCUGAAUGGGGACCCCCAAGACCAGUGUUAGAUAGCUUCCUCAAAGUGGCCGGGCACGUGUGCAGGAUAAUAAUAUGCCACUAGGGAGAAAGGACAGGGAUGAAGAGUUCUCCCC
This 751-nucleotide long non-coding RNA is filed under the name Phascolarctos cinereus (koala). RNAcentral describes it as "lncRNA (ENSPCIG00000036438.1)". The record is from RNAcentral. Lineage: Eukaryota; Metazoa; Chordata; Mammalia; Diprotodontia; Phascolarctidae.